UGGGGAAUUUUCCGCAAUGGGCGAAAGCCUGACGGAGCAAUGCCGCGUGGAGGUAGAAGGCCCACGGGUCGUGAACUUCUUUUCCCGGAGAAGAAGCAGAUGACGGUAU
RNAcentral lists this ribosomal RNA (109 nucleotides) under uncultured eukaryote. RNAcentral's name for it is "partial 16S ribosomal RNA". It matches the Rfam family "Bacterial small subunit ribosomal RNA", at positions 355 to 478 of the family's 1533-position model. The record is from RNAcentral.